AUGCAGGGAAAGGAAAAAAACCUGCCUUUUGAGAAUUCUGUAGCUAGUGAAAACAACAACAACAACAACAACAACUCAAAAAUGAAGGCAAAACAAAGCAUUGUUAAUCGAGAGUUGAACAUGUUCAUUGCACUGACAGUGCUGUCUUCUCUGUGUCCCUUGCCACAGACCUACGUUACCUUGUGGGAGGAGCCUUGGGCUUCUUCCUGCUGGCACUGUCUGGGAGCGUUGCUUCUCUGCCCCCGUGGCCGCCUUGCUCAUCACAUCUCAGUGCCCAUGGUGUUUCUUCUAGAGCCUCUUGCUUCUCCUCAGACCAGCAGAGCUGUCCUGACCUCAUUUGAGAAAGGUUUGUAGCAAAAUAAAGAGUUAAUGUAAGCUGGAUCCUAUAAUGUUUCAUUUUCCAACAACCCUAAACAUUUGAGUGUAAAAAGAAAUCUAGGGAAAACAGAUCCUUUGCAGAUGGGAAGGAGACCAAGGGAUGGAGAGAGUGGGAAGAGAGGGGAGAGAGAGGGGAUGGAAAAAGAAUGGAGGUUUGUUAUAUACGUGUAUAUCCUUUGAGGACUGUGAACAUUACAUAUUGCAAACGCACUAAUAAAAGUAAAAAUGGAAAAAGACAAACCAGAAAAUUCUGUUCUGAGAGGUCUUUAUUAGCUAGGUUUUCCUGUAUACCAUAAUUAGUUACCACAGAUAUUUUUUUAAAAAAUGCUUUUUAUUUAUUCAUACAUUUAUUUUAAAUGGAAAAGGAGGCUUAGAAAAAUAGUACAGAGCUGUGCUUCUUUUUUAAUCUUUGCUGUUGUUAGUUUUGGAAACACAACCUUAGAAAUUGCAUGCCUUGAGCCACCAGGAAUGGCCGGCACAGGAUGGUCAUUGGCAUAGAGUAGUCAGCUUAGAACAUCGAAGUAACAGUUAAUGAGUGUAAUGGUCUUUCCUGUGGUUGGAUGCAAGCAGGGUAGGUUAACCAGGAAACAGUGUGUUUUGGGGAGGAUUUUGUUCUUCACUGGCCACAUUACAGAUAUUUGUGUUUGGCAGAUCUAGAUGGAAUGGACACUGUCAUGAAAACUCACCGUGAACAGGGCUGGGGAUUUAGCUCAGUGGUUCCACCACCUGCUUCGCAAGCGCAUGGUCCCAAGUUCAAUGCCCGGUACCAAACAAACACAAAACUCACCAUGAACCUUUAAACUGCUGGUAAUUCUUUGAGGCUUGCCAUACUAUGCCUUAACGCCACCAUAUUUCCCCUAGAGAAAGAAAGUUUAGAUGAGGAGUUGGUUGGCACAUGCUUCUUGAAUUGUUGGCUAUUUUGGUGUCAACUUUUUUUUGUUGUGAGUUUCAUGUUUUAGUGACAAAAAUGUUUACCGCAAAUUAUAGCUUGGGAAAGAGAGCCACUUUCCUGCUUCAGCAAAAAGCUAGGUAAAGCACUGAUGUGGGGUAAAGUAGCUGAGGAGUUUUAUAUUCAGAUUGUAUGAAUAGUAAACAGAGCGUCCAAAAUAACCACUUGCACAUUGCAACAAACACAUCAUCAUUUGCUUAAAAAAGAGUUAUAAUUACAGUUGACGAAGCAUGGACACCAUAAAAAAUGCAUUAGUUUGGCUUGACACAUUAAUUACCUGUUUUUGCAGAUGUUUUUAUGUAUUGUUGUGCGAACAGUUUACAAAAUAAUUACAGGAAAGUCAUAUGGAAAAUAAACUAAGUGGGUGGUUUCUCGGCUAAAUAUUUUUAUUCAUGUGAAUCUGUGUGAGGCACAGCUGCUCUGUAGAAAAGCGGAG
This is a long non-coding RNA of Fukomys damarensis (Damara mole-rat), 1763 nucleotides long. The record is from Ensembl. Lineage: Eukaryota; Metazoa; Chordata; Mammalia; Rodentia; Bathyergidae.